This 500-nucleotide ribosomal RNA is filed under the name uncultured bacterium. RNAcentral's name for it is "partial 16S ribosomal RNA". It matches the Rfam family "Bacterial small subunit ribosomal RNA", at positions 31 to 523 of the family's 1533-position model. The record is from RNAcentral.
AUAGAACGCUGGCGGAAUGCUUUACACAUGCAAGUCGAACGGCAGCACGGACUUCGGUCUGGUGGCGAGUGGCGAACGGGUGAGUAAUGUAUCGGAACGUGCCCAGUCGGGGGGGAUAACGUAGUGAAAAUUACGCUAAUACCGCAUACGAUCUGUGGAUGAAAGCGGGGGAUCGCAAGACCUCGCGCGAUUGGAGCGGCCGAUAUCAGAUUAGGUAGUUGGUGGGGUCAAGGCCCACCAAGCCAACGAUCUGUAGCUGGUCUGGGAGGACGAGCAGCCACACUGGAACUGAGACACGGUCCAGACUCCUACGGGAGGCAGCAGUGGGGAAUUUUGGACUAUGGGCGAAAGCCAGAUCCAGCCAGUCCGCGUGCAGGAUGAAGGCCCUCGGGUUGUAAGCUGCUUUUGUACAGAACGAAAAGGUUUCUACUAAUACUAGGAGCUCAUGACGGUACUGUAAGAAUAAGCACCGGCUAACUACGUGCCAGCCGCCGCAGUAA